UAAGUUAAAGCUAUUUUAGCGCUUUAUUUACACUAAUGAGAAUAUUGUUUAAUCAAUAUAACUUAA
RNAcentral lists this transfer RNA (66 nucleotides) under Maoricicada cassiope. RNAcentral describes it as "tRNA-Val". RNAcentral also lists the same sequence under 1 other name. Lineage: Eukaryota; Metazoa; Arthropoda; Insecta; Hemiptera; Cicadidae. The record is from RNAcentral.